AAUCCGGGGAUAUUUAUUUCGAGAUACGAAUGCGAAGCUUUUUCUUCGGAAUUAGCGAAGUGGUCGAUACCAUACUUCCAAGAAAAUCUUCUAAGCUUCAGGUUAAAAGUGGCCGUACCCUAAACGGACACACGUGGGUGGGAUGAGAAUUCUAAGGCGCAUGAGAGAACUCAGUUGAAGGAACUAGGCAAAAUGAUACCGUAACUUCGGGAGAAGGUAUGCCUUUUGUAUGUGAUGCCACUUGCUGGCUGAGCAGAAGAAGGUUGCAAUAAAAUGAUGGCUGCGACUGUUUACUAAAAACACAGCACUCUGCAAACUUGAAAAAGGAAGUAUAGGGUGUGACGCCUGCCCGGUGCCGGAAGGUUAAUUGAUGGGGUUAGCUUGCUUGCAAGCGAAGCUCUUGAUCGAAGCCCCGGUGAACGGCGGCCGUAACUAUAACGGUCCUAAGGUAGCGAAAUUCCUUGUCGGGUAAGUUCCGACCUGCACGAAUGGCGUAACGAUGGCCAUACUGUCUCCAACCGAGACUCAGUGAAAUUGAAAUUGCUGUGAAGAUGCAGUGUACGCGCGGCUAGACGGAAAGACCCCGUGCACCUUUACUACAGCUUUACACUGAACUUUGAAUNNAAUUGUGUAGGAUAGCUGGGAGCCUUUGAAGCUNAUAGCGCUAGCNUUNGUGGAGGCANNCUUGAAAUACCAGCCUNUUNNCUUUGGAGUUCUAACCCAGGACCGUNAUCCGGUUCGGANACAGUGUAUGGUGGGUAGUUUGACUGGGGCGGUCUCCUCCCAAAGAGUAACGGAGGAACGCGAUGGUACCCUCAGUACGGUUGGAAAUCGUACGAUGCGUGUAAAGGCAUAAGGGUGCUUGACUGCGAGACNGACAUGUCGAGCAGGUACGAAAGUAGGUCUUAGUGAUCCGGUGGUUCUGUAUGGAAGGGCCAUCGCUCAAUGGAUAAAAGGUACGCCGGGGAUAACAGGCUGAUACUGCCCAAGAGCUCAUAUCGACGGCAGUGUUUGGCACCUCGAUGUCGGCUCAUCACAUCCUGGGGGUGAAGCAGCUCCCAAGGGUAUGGCUGUUCGCCAUUUAAAGUGGUACGCGAGCUGGGUUUAGAACGUCGUGAGACAGUUCGGUCCCUAUCUACCGUGCGCGUUUGAUAUUUGAUGGAUGUUGCUCCUAGUACGAGAGGACCGGAGUGAACCUAUCCCUGGUGUUCCAGUUGUCUCACCAGAGGCAUUGCUGGGUAGCUAUAUAGGGUUGUGAUAACCGCUGAAAGCAUCUAAGCGGGAAGCCAUACCAAAGAUUAGAUAUCACUGGACCUU
Molecule: ribosomal RNA, 1317 nt
Filed under: metagenome
Description: bacterial LSU rRNA
Rfam family: Bacterial large subunit ribosomal RNA
Source: RNAcentral